This 253-nucleotide ribosomal RNA is filed under the name uncultured bacterium. Its description in RNAcentral is "partial 16S ribosomal RNA". It matches the Rfam family "Bacterial small subunit ribosomal RNA", at positions 524 to 776 of the family's 1533-position model. The record is from RNAcentral.
UACGAAGGGGGCUAGCGUUGUUCGGAUUUACUGGGCGUAAAGCGCACGUAGGCGGAUCGAUCAGUCAGGGGUGAAAUCCCAGAGCUCAACUCUGGAACUGCCUUUGAUACUGUCGAUCUGGAGUAUGGAAGAGGUGAGUGGAAUUCCUAGUGUAGAGGUGAAAUUCGUAGAUAUUAGGAAGAACACCAGUGGCGAAGGCGGCUCACUGGCUCGGUACUGACGCUGAGGCGCGAAAGCUAGGGGAGCGAACAGG